RNAcentral lists this ribosomal RNA (407 nucleotides) under uncultured bacterium. RNAcentral's name for it is "bacterial SSU rRNA". It matches the Rfam family "Bacterial small subunit ribosomal RNA", at positions 355 to 775 of the family's 1533-position model. The record is from RNAcentral.
UGGGGAAUAUUGCACAAUGGGCGCAAGCCUGAUGCAGCGACGCCGCGUGAGGGAUGACGGCCUUCGGGUUGUAAACCUCUUUCAGCAGGGAGAAGCGCAAGUGACGGUACCUGCAGAAGAAGCACCGGCUAACUACGUGCCAGCAGCCGCGGUAAUACGUAGGGUGCGAGCGUUGUCCGGAAUUAUUGGGCGUAAAGAGCUUGUAGGCGGUUUGUCGCGUCUGCUGUGAAAAUCCGGGGCUCAACUCCGGACUUGCAGUGGGUACGGGCAGACUAGAGUGUGGUAGGGGAGACUGGAAUUCCUGGUGUAGCGGUGGAAUGCGCAGAUAUCAGGAGGAACACCGAUGGCGAAGGCAGGUCUCUGGGCCACUACUGACGCUGAGAAGCGAAAGCAUGGGGAGCGAACAG